This 204-nucleotide long non-coding RNA is filed under the name Phoenix dactylifera (date palm). Its description in RNAcentral is "long non-coding RNA (PDAC_LNC021675)". Lineage: Eukaryota; Viridiplantae; Streptophyta; Magnoliopsida; Arecales; Arecaceae. The record is from RNAcentral.
ACGCAUGCGCAUUUUUAUACAAUCACUUGAUUAUAAUUUAUGGAACAUUAUAGUCAAUGGAACACACACAAACACUAGUCAUAAUGAGAAAAUGGUUCAACAAAAUUCAAAAGCCAUGAACCUAUUAUAUUGUGCAUUAGAUAGGAAUGAGUUUAAUUGCAUAUCUUCUUGCAUGACUGCUAAAGAAAUAUGGAAUAUGCUUGA